GAUCAUGGCUCAGAACGAACGCUGGCGGCAGGCCUAACACAUGCAAGUCGAACGCUCCGCAAGGGGAGUGGCAGACGGGUGAGUAGCACGUGGGAACCUUCCCAUCGCUACGGAAUAGCUCAGGGAAACUUGGGGUAAUACCGUAUACGCCCGAAAGGGGAAAGAUUUAUCGGCGAUGGAUGGGCCCGCGGCUGAUUAGCUAGUUGGUGAGGUAACGGCUCACCAAGGCGACGAUCAGUAGCUGGUCUGAGAGGACGACCAGCCACACUGGGACUGAGACACGGCCCAGACUCCUACGGGAGGCAGCAGUGGGAAUAUUGGACAAUGGGCGCAAGCCUGAUCCAGCCAUGCCGCGUGAGUGACGAAGGUCUUCGGAUUGUAAAGCUCUUUUGGCGGGGACGAUAAUGACGGUACCCGCAGAAUAAGCCCCGGCUAACUUCGUG
RNAcentral lists this ribosomal RNA (443 nucleotides) under uncultured bacterium. Its description in RNAcentral is "bacterial SSU rRNA". It matches the Rfam family "Bacterial small subunit ribosomal RNA", at positions 15 to 507 of the family's 1533-position model. The record is from RNAcentral.